UGGCUGAGUGGUAAAGUGCUUGGCUUCCAAACUGGGGGCUCCAGGUUCGAAUCCUGG
Biomphalaria glabrata is the source of this 57-nucleotide non-coding RNA. Lineage: Eukaryota; Metazoa; Mollusca; Gastropoda; Planorbidae. The record is from Rfam.